Molecule: signal recognition particle RNA, 288 nt
Filed under: Vombatus ursinus (common wombat)
Lineage: Eukaryota; Metazoa; Chordata; Mammalia; Diprotodontia; Vombatidae
Description: Metazoan signal recognition particle RNA (ENSVURG00010017829.1)
Rfam family: Metazoan signal recognition particle RNA
About the family: The signal recognition particle (SRP) is a universally conserved ribonucleoprotein.
Source: Rfam by way of RNAcentral
GCCAGGCAUGGUGGUGCAUACUACCAUGAGGCUAAGAUUGGUGGAUCACUUGAGUUCAGGAGUUCUGAGUUGCAUCAGGUCUAAAGCUGAUUGAGAGUCUUCAUUAAGUCUGACACCAAUAGGUGAAUCCCUAGGAGCAGGGAGCCACUCAGUUACCUAAGGAAAGGUAAAUUGGCCCAGGUUGGAAAUGUAGAAGGUCAAAGUUUCCAUGCCAAUCAAUAGUGGAAUUGGGCCAAUGAAUGGAUGCUACCCUUCCAAUCUAUGCAAGAUAGGGAAAUCUGGUCUCAA